Molecule: long non-coding RNA, 609 nt
Filed under: Homo sapiens (human)
Lineage: Eukaryota; Metazoa; Chordata; Mammalia; Primates; Hominidae
Description: HSALNT0304254
Source: RNAcentral
CUUUGGAAGCUGCUGCACAGGGGUUAACAACAAGCAACAACUCAGGUCGCAUUCUUGUCAACGGAAGGGAGGGCCAGGUGGAACCGCCAAGGGGGCCAUUUCUGGCUUUGCUGGAGGCUGUCAGCUUCUGGUGGGAGCCACAGCCUGAGGGCAGCCAGGAUGGCUCUGCUGGGAGGGACACCCUGCCCAACCCUGGGAGCAGGUGACGAAGGCUCCUGGAGGCAUGGUCACAUCCCUGGGUCCCAGAGGCAGGAACAAAGCCCCCAGGGCAGUGUUCAUCAAGAAAGGGCCUCCGGGUUUGUGUUUACUGGACAUGAAUUGAGCUGCUCUCCAGAGAUAAGAAAAAAAUAUUACAGCCCUGCUAUGUGGGCACCCCACGGCAGCCCCCGGGGUUAAGGGGCAGCUUUCUUUCCAAGGAAUCCCAUUGCCAAAGAUGAACCUUCAGAUGGGGAAACUGAGGACCCAGAGGAAGCAAGAGCAGCCCCAGGCCACACAACCCUCUUUUUAUUAUUCAUUCACUGACUACACUGCAGAGGUUGGACCCAUAUCUCAUUAUUUGAAUAGUAAAUUGUUUUUUCUUCCUGACCCUUGGUCUGUUGGGUCUCUCAU